RNAcentral lists this ribosomal RNA (483 nucleotides) under uncultured bacterium. RNAcentral's name for it is "partial 16S ribosomal RNA". It matches the Rfam family "Bacterial small subunit ribosomal RNA", at positions 28 to 507 of the family's 1533-position model. The record is from RNAcentral.
GACGAACGCUGGCGGCGUGCCUAACACAUGCAAGUCGAGCGGGGAUUUAAGUGGAAGUUCUUCGGAAUGGAGAUUUAAAUUCUAGCGGCGGACGGGUGAGUAACGCGUGAACAAUCUGUCCCGGACAGGGGGAUAACACUUGGAAACAGGUGCUAAUACCGCAUAAGACCACGGCCUCGCAUGGGGCUGAGGUAAAAGGAGCAAUCCGGUUCGGGGUGAGUUCGCGUCCGAUUAGUUAGUUGGUGAGGUAACGGCCCACCAAGGCGACGAUCGGUAGCCGGCCUGAGAGGGUGAACGGCCACAUUGGAACUGAGAGACGGUCCAAACUCCUACGGGAGGCAGCAGUGGGGAAUAUUGGGCAAUGGGCGAAAGCCUGACCCAGCAACGCCGCGUGAGGGAAGAAGGUUUUCGGAUUGUAAACCUCUGUCCUAUGGGACGAAGGAAGUGACGGUACCAUAGGAGGAAGCCCCGGCUAACUACGUG